Long non-coding RNA from Gadus macrocephalus (Pacific cod), 1288 nucleotides. RefSeq lists it as uncharacterized. The record is from RefSeq and is a predicted model, not a curated record. NCBI's taxonomy places the organism in Eukaryota, Metazoa, Chordata, Actinopteri, Gadiformes, Gadidae. The transcript has 2 exons.
UUUAAAGGCCCACUAUGCAACUUUUUUAGCCAAAAUUACAUUAAGUAUGCAGGUUGAGAGUUAUGCUGAUGGUUCUGCAUCCAUUUCUGGGUCGAUUGGUGGGUGUGUCAUUUACCCAUGUCGCCUCUCCAGUGAAAAAGCGCAUAUGCAACUUGCUCUGUUCGGACUGACACAAUCCGGAUGUGACGCAGCGGAAGUAUCAUCGAAAAUGUAGUCAGAUUGUAGUUUCGAAAAUGCUUUACGGCACAGACACACACCCAAACAUGGCACCGGCUAGAUAUAAACAGCCAGUUGCGAGGCAAUUGUUGCAUUCAUCAUGGAUCAAUCGACUGAUAAGGGACCCAAGAGGCGACCGUCGCUGGAACAAAAGAAGAAUGGACCAGAAAAGAGAUCAGACACGAGUGAAAGGGGAACUAUGCAACUUUUUUGGCUUGAUUUACCUUAAUAUAACAGGCUAAGAGUCAUUGCGAUGGUUCUAUUAUACAUUUUUGUUCGAUUGUUCGUUGUUUCGACUCACCCUUGCGCAUCUUGGCGGAGAAAAGGAAUAUGUUUCUGCCGGCGACCCGCCGCCCACUCUCGCGGGAGUCUUGGGUCUCGCGAAGUAACGAAUUGCUUUACGGCACAGACCCCCAAACACGGAACCGGCUCGAUAUAAACACAAGUCACUAAGGGAUUGUUAUAUUCAUCAUAGAUCAGCCGACUAAAAAGAGACAGAGAAACCCAAUGUCGGAGGAACAGAAGAAGAGAAAAGGGAGACUGACCGGCAGAGAGGCCAGACACGAACUGCAAAUCAGACGCCGACUCGGCCGUGUUGCUUUUGAAAUUGAAAGUACCCUUGGGUGGCCUUUGUCUUCGUGGUAUUCUUGAUGUUGAUAGUCUCUGUACAAAUGUGUUUGCUCAACCAUUUUGUUGUGAGCCCUGUAAAAAUUGUUUUCUCGACCAUUUUGUUGUGAGUCCUGUAUGUUUCUAGCUUGCUUGGUUGCAACCAUAUAAACACCUUUGUUUCCAUGGGUGUUUUGCUGUUCGUCUGUCUCGUCCCCCAGAUACAGACUGAAUCCCCGAAUCCAGGUUCUUGUUUAUUUAGAUUAUUAUGUUGGCCAAACCUCUUACACUGAUUGUUCUGUUCAACCUAAGAUAAAACAAUUAUAAUCUAGGAUAUAAAUUCUCCCCGUCAACUAUAAAAAAGGAUGGAUUUAUGUUUAUUGCAAUACAAAUACACCCUUUUAAAAAUGUAUAACCUUGCCUACACUUUAUGAACAUCUACUUCGGACAUGGCUCCACGCAUUCG